CAAUCGGCCCUUUUCAGGGCCACCAUUUUCCUUAAGAAAGAUAACG
Molecule: regulatory RNA element, 46 nt
Organism: Daphnia magna
Lineage: Eukaryota; Metazoa; Arthropoda; Branchiopoda; Diplostraca; Daphniidae
Rfam family: Histone 3' UTR stem-loop
About the family: The mRNAs of metazoan histone genes lack a poly-A tail. 3' end processing occurs at a site between a highly conserved stem-loop (modelled by this family) and a purine rich region around 20 nts downstream (the histone downstream element, or HDE). The stem-loop is bound by a 31 kDa stem-loop binding protein (SLBP - also termed the histone hairpin binding protein, or HBP).
Source: Rfam